This 279-nucleotide ribosomal RNA is filed under the name Triticum aestivum (bread wheat). Its description in RNAcentral is "partial small subunit ribosomal RNA". The record is from RNAcentral. Lineage: Eukaryota; Viridiplantae; Streptophyta; Magnoliopsida; Poales; Poaceae.
AUGCCUCUGGAGUUCAUGAAGCAUUUCCCCGCCAUCCCUACAGAGUUCAAACUGAAGACGAACACUGGCUGCGCAUGGAGGGUGACGGUGAAGGUGAUCAACAGUGUCACCCUUGAUCAGGGUUGGGCCACCUUCGCCGCCGUUCGUGAGAGCAUGCGGUACAUGCUGACGUUCAAGCUACCGACCCCCAACACCGUGAAAUUGAUCGUAUUCAACGACGAGGGUGUGGAGGUGGCCACCAAGUGCAAGGAGCGCGAUAACACUGUCAAACUUGCCUAA